Molecule: long non-coding RNA, 535 nt
Organism: Beta vulgaris subsp. vulgaris (sugar beet)
Lineage: Eukaryota; Viridiplantae; Streptophyta; Magnoliopsida; Caryophyllales; Amaranthaceae
Exons: 2
Source: RefSeq, a predicted model, not a curated record
GGCGCUCUCUCUCUCUCCCCACCCCCUCACUCACUCCAUUAACGCGCGGCUCUUGAUCUUCUCUCUCUUCUCUCUCUCCCUCCGUCCCUCACUCCAUUUCAGGGUUCCAUUUCCUCCUUCGUUAAAUUUCGUUCAUUCAGCAUUCUUUUUUAUUUCGUUAAAUUUCGUUCGUGAAUUACAAUUGUUCGUUCUCCAUUUCAGUUCAUUUCGUUCAUUCGCACUCCAUUUCAGUUGUUCGUUCGUGAAUUACAAUUACGGAUUUCGUUCUUCGCACUUCAAGAUGAAGAUCUGUUUGAAGACCGUCUUUUUUUCGACAUUUCUUCGCUUUUCCAGUUCGAAUUUCCAGAAAUUUCACAAAGAACAACUGAGGAAGAGCCAUAAAUUCCAGAAAUUUUGUUGUUGUAUUAUGAGCACCAAGAAGCCAGAAUGAGCGGUUCAAUUUUUAGAGUAUUUUUUAGGAUUUUUAGAGUAUUUUUUGAUUGGAUUAACAGAUUGUUGCUAUAAUUUUUCAUUGUAUUUCAUAUUCUUUCAGAUC